RNAcentral lists this long non-coding RNA (251 nucleotides) under Elaeis guineensis (African oil palm). RNAcentral's name for it is "long non-coding RNA (EGUI_LNC049826)". Lineage: Eukaryota; Viridiplantae; Streptophyta; Magnoliopsida; Arecales; Arecaceae. The record is from RNAcentral.
CAUCUCAUGCACCACUUUUUUUUUAAAUUUAUUGGCAAUUAGAGUCUAUACCUCCAAAAAUUCUAUCUCAAAAUCACAUGCCCCAUCUACCAUAUUCUUUUUUUUUAUACAAAUAGAGUCCAAAUUUCUAAAAACUCUUUCUUAUGAUGGUUUCUCCCAUCCAUCUCAAAGGCAUGCCCUCUAGGAUGGUGAAAAUUUUCCACCAUAUUUUAAUUUUUUUCAAAAAAUUUAUGCUCUUAAUUUUUCUUCCU